RNAcentral lists this long non-coding RNA (329 nucleotides) under Parus major (Great Tit). RNAcentral's name for it is "lncRNA (ENSPMJG00000001302.1)". The record is from RNAcentral. Lineage: Eukaryota; Metazoa; Chordata; Aves; Passeriformes; Paridae.
CUGAGGGGCAGCGGCUGAGCCGAGGCCGAGGGCGGUGCCGGGGGCGGUGCUCGGUGUCCCGGCGUUGCCGUGUCCCGGUGUCGCUCGGCGCCGCCGGGAGCCGCGGCUCCGUCCCGUCCGCCGGGAGCAGAGCGCGCAGAGAACGGCGCUGCCGCCUCGGAAACAUCUCAGGCUUUCUGCAGGCAUACCUGCCAACACCAUUUACUCCAAACUUCAACUAUUGUCUUAGGUCAGCCUACCACCCCCCUCGGAUCAACAGUCCUGCUGAAGUCGGAGGAAACAGCAAAUUUAAGCAACAGGAGGGGUUAGAUGAGAUGUCAGAAAAGUAG